GACGACCGCUGGCGGCGUGCUUAACACAUGCAAGUCGAACAGAAAGGCCCUGCUUUUGUGGGGUGCUCGAGUGGCGAACGGGUGAGUAACACGUGAGUAACCUGCCCUUUACUUUGGGAUAACUUCAGGAAACUGGGGCUAAUACCGGAUAGGAGCUCCUGCUGCAUGGUGGGGGUUGGAAAGUUUCGGCGGUUGGGGAUGGACUCGCGGCUUAUCAGCUUGUUGGUGGGGUAGUGGCUUACCAAGGCUUUGACGGGUAGCCGGCCUGAGAGGGUGACCGGCCACAUUGGGACUGAGAUACGGCCCAGACGCCUACGGGAGGCAGCAGUGGGGAAUAUUGCACAAUGGGCGGAAGCCUGAUGCAGCAACGCCGCGUGCGGGAUGACGGCCUUCGGGUUGUAAACCGCUUUCGCCUGUGACGAAGCGUGAGUGACGGUAAUGGGUAAAGAAGCACCGGCUAACUACGUG
RNAcentral lists this ribosomal RNA (468 nucleotides) under uncultured bacterium. RNAcentral describes it as "partial 16S ribosomal RNA". It matches the Rfam family "Bacterial small subunit ribosomal RNA", at positions 28 to 507 of the family's 1533-position model. The record is from RNAcentral.